GUCACCCAAGCUGGAGUGGUGUGGUGGUGCCAUCUCGGCUCACUGUAACUUCUGCCUCCUGGGUUCAAGCGAUUCUCCUGCCUCACCCUCCCGAAUAGUUGAAAUUACAGGUACCCAUGACCAUGUCUGACUAAUUUUUGUGUUUUUAGUAGAGACUGGGUUCUGCCACGUUGGCCAGGCUGGUCUCAAACUCCUGACCUCAAGUGAUCUGCCUGCCUUGGCCUCCCAAAGUGCUGGUAUUACAGGCGUAAGCCACCAUGCCUGGUUUAAAUCUGCAUCUCUUUAUAGUUGUUGCAGAUAUCUUGAAAUAUUGGCUGUUUGUUGCUACUUCAAAAUUAUGGUAGAUAGUAAAUCUCUACUAUAACUUAUUAUUUAAUAUCUUAAAGAAGCACAUAUUUUGAUACAUUUCAACAUAACUGGUUUUUUUUGAAUACUAUAUAUCUUAUUUUAUGCAUUUAAUAAUCAUCUUCAGAAAAUUUCACAGCUUCACCAGACUGCCAAAGGUGUCCGUGGUACAAAAGAGUUAAGAAGUUACAGAGUGCAAGGCUGUCCCCAGGAUCACCUCACUUCUGACACCAAUUGUCUGUUGAGGGGUGGUGAGAGUGGGAGGGGUCAGGUCUGACCACACUCAGAUCUGAUAAAUCAGCAGGAGGACUUCCCAACUGAAAGCUGUUACACUUAUGGUUUAUUUCAGUGGAAGGAAUGGGCCAAAGGAAGAAGUGCAUGGAGCAGAAAGUCCCGAAAGGGAAGCUUCCAGCUGUCCUCUCCCAGUAGACUCAUGGGCAGCGCCAACUUUUGCUGGCCAGGAUAUGUGACAGUACACGUGGAAUACUGCCCCCCAGGGAGCCUCACCUGAGCCUUUGUGUACAGAGCUUUUACUGGGUCUCAGGCAGGUAGACAUGGUGGACUCCCUGUGUGACUGACCAUCCAUCUCCAGCCCUUCUGAAGGUCAAGCUGAUGCUUUGUGGCUGAAAACCCCCAGCAUAAAUCACGCUGUUAGGCUUUUCAAUAUGGUUCAACACUCCCCAAGCAAACAAAGACACUCUUAUCAGGCAGGACAUCCCCAGGGCUUAGAGGUACCUCCCAGGAACCUCUGGCAAUGGCCGGACAUCUCUGGAUAAGGUCAAUUCUUUACUACGCAGUACCCGACUCUUGAAACUGCCACAGGGCUGCACACUUGGAGCAGUUGGAGGUAGGUGAGAGGGUGGAAGAAUUAGCUAACACAUAGUUGUAGCCACUGAAACACAAUUUAGUGGAAGAUUUCUUUUUGUACCUGCAAAGACAGCAUAGAGUUCAUUGCUUUCAGAGGCAACUGAGUAGUUCCAGGUUAAAAACAUCACUCGGCCUGGGUUUAGCACCUAACUCUUUUCAGUGUGUUUUCAUCUGUUGUCUCAUUUAAUCCUCAAAAGAGAUGGAAAGAAGGGGUGUUGUUAAGCCUGGCCUGGAGGUUGGGGCUCACCAGGGUCAUGGGAUGAGGGAGCAGGAGCAGCAUGAGGAGGGUCCUGGCCACUUCCCUCACCCUGCCCCACCCUGACUCCUCCUCCCAGGUUGUUCAGACAGAGCGAGUCCUGUGGCCAAGAAGAUCAGCAGAUAUUUUGCAGAAUCAGGUAUCUGGUAAUGCCCGGGUUGUACAGGGAGCUUAACCAGCUUUGGGAUGGCUGUUGUGGAGUACACCACACUGGGCGAUUACAUGAAGUCACUGCCCGCCUGAUGUGACCAACUUACUUGUGGGAAGGCAAGCUGUUUGUUGGAGUCUCUGAGGUCCAACGUGUGUUGACUCAUCUGAAGUAAGCCUUCGCCCAGGGUCAUGACCUCACCCUGAAGUUUGGUGUAAAUUCCAUGCAAUCUCUGUGUAAACAUUGGAAAGCCGCUCUUUCAGGGCGCUUUCCUUUAUGGGCCCUCCCUGAGGGGUUAAGCCAUUUCUGUGGGGCUGCAGCUGCAAUGGUGAUGACUGUACCUGACUCCUCUGCAGGAGGCCGAACGCCCUGAAGGGGAAGAAAGGCAGUGUGUCUGGGACUCUGCCCACUCCCUCUGACCUGUGCUGUUCCCUCGGGCUUUCUGGGGUGCAGCUGGGAUCUAGAUAAUCUUGUGUUUUCUCUGAAGGUGACAUCUGUCUUAACAAAUGCAUUUGUAUAUAAUUUGCGCAGGAAUUGGCACUAUUUUAUGGAGGUCUGUGUGGUUUUUUUGAGCUACCAUUUUUGCUUCCUGCUUACCUGUGAUGCUCGUCCAUAAUUACUGGAAGCACCACUCUUUCAGGCAGUAAUCUGAUGAGAUUGCAGCUCCAUGGGGCAGGGCCUGCCCUGUCCUGUUCACAGCUGCAUCUUGGCACCUAUGACAGUGCCUGCCAUGUAUGGAGCUUGCUAAAUGUUUGUUGAAUCCUAUGAGGCCACUCACUGACUUAGUUUCCUGUGGCUCCUGUAACAUAUACUGCAAACCUGGUGGCUUAUAACAACAUGCAUUUUUUCUCUUACAGUUCUGAAGGCCGGAAGUCCACAAUCAGUGUCGCUGGCUGAAAUCGAGGUGCUGGCAGCCUGCGCUCCCUCUGGAGGCUCUAGGGGAACCAGCCUCUGAUGGCUGCGGCAGCUGCGGCGUUUCUUGGCUGUGGUCACAGUCUCUGCCCCCAUGGCCACAUUGCCUUCUCCUCUCCUGUGUGUGCCUCCGCCUUAUUAGGGCCACCUGGAUAAUCCAGGAUCAACUCCUCACUUCAGAAUCCUGGAUCCAGUAGCAAAGUGCCCCUCCCUCUUUUCUGUAUUGGUGGCAGCUACAGGUAGUGGGGAUCAGGAGGUGGCUGUCUGCCACACUCACAAAGGGGAUGGAGACCUGAAGGGAGCUGGUCAGUGGUGGCAGUGUCACUCCUGCUGCCCAUGAGGCCAGAUGCCUGCUGGGGAGUCUGGCAUGAACAUGAGUUGGGGAAAGGGAGUUCCAUCCCAACCCCUUCCCUGAGGAUAAGCUUGCCUGGACAGAGAGCCUUCCAGUUUACACGUGUACGGUAUAUGGAUGUGCUUUGGUUAAGAAUAGGCUGAGGUGGAUAACCAGGCCUGCAUGACUCAGUGAGUUUAGAGUGCAGGCAUAUAGCUCUGCUUGUUAUCACAGCCAUGUAGCCAUAACAUGCGAAGGCCAUGCCUUGGCCCUAUGCCACUAUUGUCUGUAAAAACUAUAAUUGGCCUGCUGACUCCGUACAGACGCACUUGCACCCAGAGAGAGAGAGAGCCAGAGCUGUCCGACUUUGCAGAUGGACGGGGGAACCAGGACACAGCUCAGCCUACUCAUACCCAGAGAGAGAAGGAGUUCAGCUGCUGACCCUGAAGGCAAGGGAGAGCUGGCCACGCAGGUGUGUGUGGGAGCUGGCUGCUGAGAGGAACCGCUGAGCCGGAGCAGGCAGCCAAAAUAAAGGUGAACAGUGUAAAAGAGCUAGUGUAAGCUGCUAGUGAGAGAGCUCCUGAAUAAAAUUACAUUUCACCUGCCUUCAGUCCCCCGAAUGUUCUUUCAGCUAUCUGCUCAUCCACCCACUCCUUUCGGACCUCAGCUGGGGCUGGACCCCAACCCUGAGCGUAACAACAAGCGAUACUUUUGUUACGUCCAUUUUCACUUCCUUCAUCAGAAAUGUCCUGAGCUCUCCCUGGGCACUGUCCUGUGGCUGGUAAGAGGCAGAGGGCAGGAGCUGUGUCAGUCUUGUUCCUUGUUGUAACCCAGUGCCUGGACAUGCACGGUCCCCUCCGAUUGCUUGCCUCAGAAUCACUGGCUAUACUUAUACAAAAGCGGAUUCCUGACCUGCCUCCCAGACAGACUGAGUUCGAAUCUCUGGCUGGGACCUAGAUAUCUGCAUUUUAAAUAAGGUCCCAGAUGAUGCUGAUGUAUCAUCAACUAAGAAUUACUGGCCUGUUAGCGGUACUUCCAACACAGCCCACCAUGCCAGUACAAAGCAGGUGUGCACACUUUUGGAAGGAUCCCCAUUUUCCCCUGGGGAACUGGCCUUGGGAUAUGACCAACAGCGCCCCAUAGCUCUCAGAACAUUCCUGUCCCCAUGGGCCCUCGCGGGCAGGCUGAGCACAGCACUGUGGCACUCAGCGGCUGGCCUGGGAUUCGGUGGAAAUAGGUUUGCUGCUUCUCAGCCAAGUGGCCUGAAGCAAAUGAUUUAAGCUGUCUCGAUUUCCUCAUCUGGAUAAUGGGGACACAAAUAGAACCAAUAAAAAGUGUUGAGAAGACUGAA
Molecule: long non-coding RNA, 4210 nt
Organism: Piliocolobus tephrosceles (Ugandan red Colobus)
Lineage: Eukaryota; Metazoa; Chordata; Mammalia; Primates; Cercopithecidae
Exons: 3
Source: RefSeq, a predicted model, not a curated record